CCUACGGGAGGCAGCAGUGGGGAAUAUUGCACAAUGGGGGAAACCCUGAUGCAGCGACGCCGCGUGAGUGAAGAAGUAAUUCGUUAUGUAAAGCUCUAUCAGCAGGGAAGAAAAUGACGGUACCUGAGUAAGAAGCCCCGGCUAACUACGUGCCAGCAGCCGCGGUAAUACGUAGGGGGCAAGCGUUAUCCGGAUUUACGGGGUGGAAAGGGAGCGUAGACGGCAGUGCAAGUCUGGAGGGAAAGGCGGGGGCUCAACCCCCGGACUGCUCUGGAAACUGUACGGCUGGAGUGCAGGAGAGGUAAGUGGAAUUCCUAGUGUAGCGGUGAAAUGCGUAGAUAUUAGGAGGAACACCAGUGGCGAAGGCGGCUUACUGGACUGUAACUGACGUUGAGGCUCGAAAGCGUGGGGAGCAAACAGGAUUAGAUACCCCAGUAGUC
RNAcentral lists this ribosomal RNA (440 nucleotides) under uncultured bacterium. RNAcentral's name for it is "partial 16S ribosomal RNA". It matches the Rfam family "Bacterial small subunit ribosomal RNA", at positions 338 to 795 of the family's 1533-position model. The record is from RNAcentral.